AUCAACUUUCGAUGGUAGGAUAGAGGCCUACCAUGGUUUUAACCGGGGAAUUAGGGUUCGAUUCCGGAGAGGGAGCCUGAGAAACGGCUACCACAUCCAAGGAAGGCAGCAGGCACGCAAAUUACCCAAUCCCGACACGGGGAGGUAGUGACAAUAAAUAACAAUACGGGGCUCAUUUGGGUCCCGUAAUUGGAAUGAGUACAAUUUAAAUCUCUUAACGAGGAACAAUUGGAGGGCAAGUCUGGUGCCAGCAGCCGCGGUAAUUCCAGCUCCAAUAGCGUAUAUUAAAGUUGUUGCAGUUAAAAAGCUCAUAGUUGAACUUCGGGGUUCACCCAUUGGUCAGGCUUAAUUGUCUGUACUGGUGAGAUGAGUCUCUACCUUCUGAGGAACUUUCAUGCCAUUUAUUUGGUGUGGUUGGAAAUCAGGACUGUUACUUUGAAAAAAUUAGAGUGUUUAAAGCAGGCUAACGUCUGAAUACAUUAGCAUGGAAUAAUGAAAUAGGACGGAUUGAUUCUAUUUCGUUGGUUUCUAGGGUCACCGUAAUGAUUAAUAGGGAUAGUUGGGGGCAUUAGUAUUCAAUUGUCAGAGGUGAAAUUCUUGGAUUUAUUGAAGACUAACUACUGCGAAAGCAUUUGCCAAGGAUGUUUUCAUUAAUCAAGAACGAAAGUUAGGGGAUCGAAGACGAUCAGAUACCGUCGUAGUCUUAACCAUAAACUAUACCGACUAGGGAUCGGACGCAGUUAAUUUUAUAAUGACGUGUUCGGCACCUUACGGGAAACCAAAGUGUUUGGGUCC
This 795-nucleotide ribosomal RNA is filed under the name uncultured Glomeromycotina. RNAcentral describes it as "SSU rRNA". It matches the Rfam family "Eukaryotic small subunit ribosomal RNA", at positions 314 to 1114 of the family's 1831-position model. The record is from RNAcentral. Lineage: Eukaryota; Fungi; Glomeromycota.